AGAGCCUGGGAGUCAGGUGGGGCCGGCUGGGAGCUGGAGGUUACGCGGUCCAGGCAGGCUGGGGCGGGAGCAGCUAUUUUAGGACCCUGUGUUGAUGAGCAAGCGAAGAAAGCUGAUCUGCAGAGUAAGGCAGGAAAAUGGAGCUCGGAGGGCAGCAGGGAUGCGACCCGGCGUGGCAUCAAAGCGGGGGAAACAGGCAGUCAGACCAUCCUGCCUAAGAGCUGAAGGUGGAGGAGGAGACAGAGGGGCCGUGUCCCUGUUGCAACCCUACCAGGAAGAGCCUUUGGGCAAGACUGUCACAUUCACCGCACACUUGUUAAGUCCGCGGAAUCCAGACAAACAAAACGAGACACUUACUCAACCUACGCACUGUUGUUUGCUUCCGGCAUCGUUAUUACUCUUCCUGUGGCUGGUACCCAGCAGCAAUGAGAACGAAAAGUCUGACACCACGGCGGAUGGUUUUUCUCUCAAUCCCUCUGGGCAGAGUCCUCUAGGGCACCUGUGCCACGUAUUUGAUAGAAUCGUGGCAUCUCGACGUGAGAAGUGGCUCCCUGAAGUUCUCCUGCUUGACUGCUCGCUCCUGCAGAAUUCCCAUCAGCCCAAGGGAAGAGUAUACAGUCUUGGCCGCCUUCAGUGAUGGGGAGCUCAGGACCAGUCAAGGCACCUAUGCCAGCGGAGCAGGUGACAGAAGCACAGCGGACCAGCCCCUGCUGACAGUUACAGAGCAAAGAACAGGAAGGAUGGAGUGGGAACCCAAGAUCCUGGCUUGCGGAGGGCUCUCUGACCUGUUGGCCCCCAGGGAAGAGGCCCGGCUGGUGCUUCAUGCCACAUGCACUCCGGUGGCCCGUUCCCAGCGCCAAAAGUUGUUUAGAUGUGCUGUCCACCCUACCUGGGACCACGGAGCGCUGGAAAUGCGGCCAGGGGACAUGAGAAGGGCUCCAGGUACAGAAUGCACCAUGGGAUUUGAAAAGAAGAGUGUAGGGGCGCCUGGGUGGCUCAGUCGGUUAGGCAUCCGGCUUCGGCUCGGGUCAUGAUCUCGCGGUCCGUGAGUUCGAGCCCCACGUCAGGCUCU
This is a long non-coding RNA of Prionailurus viverrinus (fishing cat), 1072 nucleotides long. RefSeq lists it as uncharacterized. NCBI's taxonomy places the organism in Eukaryota, Metazoa, Chordata, Mammalia, Carnivora, Felidae. The transcript has 4 exons. The record is from RefSeq and is a predicted model, not a curated record.